Macrobrachium nipponense is the source of this 292-nucleotide long non-coding RNA. RefSeq lists it as uncharacterized. NCBI's taxonomy places the organism in Eukaryota, Metazoa, Arthropoda, Malacostraca, Decapoda, Palaemonidae. The record is from RefSeq and is a predicted model, not a curated record. The transcript has 3 exons.
UGGCAUUUGACCUCCCUGAUACAAGAUAUUUUGAGAUCUCUGCUGGAGAGGCUCAAAAAAAAUUCCCUGAGAUUCAAGAAUUCUUUAGCCCUGAGUUGGGGGGUGAGUUGAAUUCCCAAGCUGUUGUUCUAGAUGAGGAUUGCCAUGCAGUAUUGGUGAAACAAGAAAAGUUAUUGGAAGAAGACAUUCCAUAUGGUGCUGCUGUACUGGAAUUAACAGAAGAUAAACUUUAUGAAAAUAAAGGAAUGAGCGUACGCGUUUACAACAUACUAUGGGGAAGUAGAGGAUCUUG